RNAcentral lists this ribosomal RNA (467 nucleotides) under uncultured bacterium. RNAcentral's name for it is "partial 16S ribosomal RNA". It matches the Rfam family "Bacterial small subunit ribosomal RNA", at positions 33 to 507 of the family's 1533-position model. The record is from RNAcentral.
GACGACGCUGGCGGCGUGCUUAACACAUGCAAGUCGCACGGAAAGGCCCUGCUUUUGUGGGGUGCUCGAGUGGCGAACGGGUGAGUAACACGUGAGUAACCUGCCCUUGACUUUGGGAUAACUUCAGGAAACUGGGGCUAAUACCGGAUAGGAGCUCCUGCUGCAUGGUGGGGGUUGGAAAGUUUCGGCGGUUGGGGAUGGACUCGCGGCUUAUCAGCUUGUUGGUGGGGUAGUGGCUUACCAAGGCUUUGACGGGUAGCCGGCCUGAGAGGGUGACCGGCCACAUUGGGACUGAGAUACGGCCCAGACUCCUACGGGAGGCAGCAGUGGGGAAUAUUGCACAAUGGGCGGAAGCCUGAUGCAGCAACGCCGCGUGCGGGAUGACGGCCUUCGGGUUGUAAACCGCUUUCGCCUGUGACGAAGCGUGAGUGACGGUAAUGGGUAAAGAAGCACCGGCUAACUACGUG